RNAcentral lists this ribosomal RNA (366 nucleotides) under unidentified archaeon. RNAcentral's name for it is "bacterial SSU rRNA". It matches the Rfam family "Archaeal small subunit ribosomal RNA", at positions 108 to 467 of the family's 1478-position model. The record is from RNAcentral.
CAUGCCCAGGGGUACGUGACUAACCUCAAGUGGAAACUGAGGAUUAAACCGACGAUAGGUCAUCACUUCUGGAAUGGGUAAUGACUUAAAUCUAUAUGGCCCCUGGAUUGGACUGCGGCCGAUCAGGCUGUUGGUGAGGCGAUGGCCCACCAAACCUGUAACCGGUACGGGCUCUGAGAGGAGGAGCCCGGAGAUGGGCACUGAGACAAGGGCCCAGGCCCUAUGGGGCGCAGCAGGACCGCGAAACCUCUGCAAUAGGCGAAAGCUUGACAGGGUUACUCUGAGUGAUUUCCGUUAAGGAGAUCUUUUGGCACCUCUAAAAAAUGGUGCAGAAUAAGGGGUGGGCAAGUCUGGUGCCAGCCGCCG